CUCACUCUAGUGACAGAGAGAGGGAGGGGGUGACUAGUGACAGUCACCACCUCCUUCACUCUGUCACUAGUCACCCCCUCCCUCUCUCUGUCACUAGUCACCCCC
This 105-nucleotide microRNA precursor is filed under the name Pelobates cultripes (western spadefoot toad). The record is from RNAcentral. Lineage: Eukaryota; Metazoa; Chordata; Amphibia; Anura; Pelobatidae.